Molecule: ribosomal RNA, 365 nt
Filed under: uncultured bacterium
Lineage: Bacteria
Description: bacterial SSU rRNA
Rfam family: Bacterial small subunit ribosomal RNA
Source: RNAcentral
AGAGUUUGAUCAUGGCUCAGAAUGAACGCUAGCGGCGUGCUUAACACAUGCAAGUCGUACGAGAACUCUUUAGCUUGCUAAAGAUAGUAAAGUGGCGCACGGGUGAGUAACGCGUGGGUAAUCUACCUCUGAAUUUGGGAUAACUCUCGCGAAAGCGGGGCUAAUACCGGAUAAUAUUUCAGGAUUUUCGGGUCUUGAAAUCAAAAGUGGCCUCUACAUGUAAGCUACUGUUUGGAGAUGAGCCCGCGUACCAUUAGCUUGUUGGUAGGGUAAUGGCCUACCAAGGCUACGAUGGUUAGCUGGUCUGAGAGGAUGAUCAGCCACACUGGAACUGAUACACGGUCCAGACUCCUACGGGAGGCAGC